Molecule: ribosomal RNA, 465 nt
Filed under: uncultured bacterium
Lineage: Bacteria
Description: partial 16S ribosomal RNA
Rfam family: Bacterial small subunit ribosomal RNA
Source: RNAcentral
GACGAACGCUGGCGGCGUGCUUAACACAUGCAAGUCGAACGGAAAGGCCCUGCUUGCAGGGUACUCGAGUGGCGAACGGGUGAGUAACACGUGGGUGAUCUGCCCUGCACUUCGGGAUAAGCCUGGGAAACUGGGUCUAAUACCGGAUAGGAGCCAUUUUUAGUGUGAUGGUUGGAAAGUUUUUUCGGUGUAGGAUGAGCUCGCGGCCUAUCAGCUUGUUGGGGGGGUAAUGGCCUACCAAGGCGGCGACGGGUAGCCGGCCUGAGAGGGUGGACGGCCACAUUGGGACUGAGAUGCGGCCCAGACUCCUACGGGAGGCAGCAGUGGGGAAGAUUGCACAAUGGGCGCAAGCCUGAUGCAGCGACGCCGCGUGGGGGAUGACGGCCUUCGGGUUGUAAACUACUUUCGCUAGGGACGAAGCUUUUUGUGACGGUACCUAGAUAAGAAGCACCGGCUAACUACGUG